GACGAACGCUGGCGGCGUGCUUAACACAUGCAAGUCGAACGGAAAGGCCCUGCUUUUGUGGGGUGCUCGAGUGGCGAACGGGUGAGUAACACGUGAGUAACCUGCCCUUGACUUUGGGAUAACUUCAGGAAACUGGGGCUAAUACCGGAUAGGAGCUCCUGCUGCAUGGUGGGGGUUGGAAAGUUUCGGCGGUUGGGGAUGGACUCGCGGCUUAUCAGCUUGUUGGUGGGGUAGUGGCUUACCAAGGCUUUGACGGGUAGCCGGCCUGAGAGGGUGACCGGCCACAUUGGGACUGAGAUACGGCCCAGACUCCUACGGGAGGCAGCAGUGGGGAAUAUUGCACAAUGGGCGGAAGCCUGAUGCAGCAACGCCGCGUGCGGGAUGACGGCCUUCGGGUUGUAAACCGCUUUCGCCUGUGACGAAGCGUGAGUGACGGUGAUGGGUAAAGAAGCACCGGCUAACUACGUGC
RNAcentral lists this ribosomal RNA (469 nucleotides) under uncultured bacterium. RNAcentral's name for it is "partial 16S ribosomal RNA". It matches the Rfam family "Bacterial small subunit ribosomal RNA", at positions 28 to 508 of the family's 1533-position model. The record is from RNAcentral.